Long non-coding RNA from Saccostrea echinata, 534 nucleotides. RefSeq lists it as uncharacterized. The transcript has 5 exons. The record is from RefSeq and is a predicted model, not a curated record. Lineage: Eukaryota; Metazoa; Mollusca; Bivalvia; Ostreida; Ostreidae.
CUAGAGAGUCUGAUCAGCGACGUUUUGAGGCAAACAUAAAAAAGUGUUUUAGAGAUAUCAGAACAAAUAAACUGAAACACAAAGGAAACACUUAGAAGAGAGAAAGAAAAUAUGGACGAAGAAUUAGUCGAAAAGCACUCGAAUGAUUCAAAGUCGAAAGAGGAAAGGGGGACUGGAAAAGAAAUAAAUGAGCACGGAUCUAUGAAAACAUGGCUUGCCAUUAUCAUCAGUAUCAUUUUGAUAAUUGCAUGGUUUUGUUACGAUGAUAUCAUUGCUUGCUGUUAACCUCCGUAAGAGCUGCGGAGGCAGUUUACCAGAGGAUCAGAAAAGACUAAUUGGCAUGGUGUUCUAACAUUUGCGGAAAUUUAGCAGAAAUUGAAACUGAGGAGGAAAACACCUUCAUCCUCAGGUUCACUCUGAGUAAAGCUAACACUACCGAAGGUUCAAAUUUUACACUGUCGUUGACUUUAUUUCGUAAUCUAGAUGCAUUGUUUUUAUUUGUUUUCUUCGUAUGAAGUGUUGAUUUCUUGACAU